RNAcentral lists this transfer RNA (85 nucleotides) under Myxococcales bacterium. Its description in RNAcentral is "tRNA-Leu". It matches the Rfam family "tRNA". Rfam says of the family: Transfer RNA (tRNA) molecules are approximately 80 nucleotides in length. Their secondary structure includes four short double-helical elements and three loops (D, anti-codon, and T loops). Further hydrogen bonds mediate the characteristic L-shaped molecular structure. tRNAs have two regions of fundamental functional importance: the anti-codon, which is responsible for specific mRNA codon recognition, and the 3' end, to which the tRNAs corresponding amino acid is attached (by aminoacyl-tRNA synthetases). tRNAs cope with the degeneracy of the genetic code in two manners: having more than one tRNA (with a specific anti-codon) for a particular amino acid; and 'wobble' base-pairing, i.e. permitting non-standard base-pairing at the 3rd anti-codon position. RNAcentral also lists the same sequence under 1 other name. Lineage: Bacteria; Pseudomonadati; Myxococcota; Myxococcia; Myxococcales. The record is from RNAcentral.
GCUGCGGUGGUGGAACAGGCAUACACACUGCGUUGAGAGCGCAGGCCCACCUCAGGGCGUGAGGGUUCGACUCCCUCCCGCAGCA